UACGGGGGGAGCAAGCGUUGUUCGGAAUUACUGGGCGUAAAGCGCGCGUAGGCGGACCUGCAAGUCGGGGGUGAAAGCCCGAGGCUCAACCUCGGAACUGCCUUCGAUACUGCGGGUCUCGAGUCCGGGAGAGGUGAGUGGAAUUCCUAGUGUAGAGGUGAAAAUUCGUAGAUAUUAGGAAGAACACCAGUGGCGAAGGCGGCUCACUGGCCCGGUACUGACGCUGAGGCGCGAAAGCGUGGGGAGCAAACAGG
Molecule: ribosomal RNA, 254 nt
Filed under: uncultured bacterium
Lineage: Bacteria
Description: partial 16S ribosomal RNA
Rfam family: Bacterial small subunit ribosomal RNA
Source: RNAcentral